Long non-coding RNA from Sinocyclocheilus rhinocerous, 169 nucleotides. RefSeq lists it as uncharacterized. NCBI's taxonomy places the organism in Eukaryota, Metazoa, Chordata, Actinopteri, Cypriniformes, Cyprinidae. The transcript has 3 exons. The record is from RefSeq and is a predicted model, not a curated record.
UAUAUCCCCACUCGCUGCUGUAAGAUGGAGAAGUUAUGUUGAGGCGCAACCGAGGUUUUGCACAUGAAAAAUGCCGUUAAGUUGGAAUUGCCAAAUCAUAUACCGAAUCGAGUGUAGAAAUUAGUGACCAUGAAGGUUGACAGAAGCAAAUUGAAGAAAACCCCCACUG